ACGGGAGGCAGCAGUGGGGAAUAUUGCACAAUGGGGGAAACCCUGAUGCAGCGACGCCGCGUGAAGGAAGAAGUAUCUCGGUAUGUAAACUUCUAUCAGCAGGGAAGAUAAUGACGGUACCUGACUAAGAAGCCCCGGCUAACUACGUGCCAGCAGCCGCGGUAAUACGUAGGUGGCAAGCGUUGUUCGGAAUCACUGGGCGUAAAGGGAGCGCAGGCGGAGAUGCAAGCAGUCUGUACAAUACCGGGGCCCAACCCCGGACCUGCAGACUGGACUGUUUCUCUUGGAUAGUUCAGGGGCAAGCGGAAUUCCUGGUGUAGCGGUGGGAUGCGUAGAGAUCAGGAAGAACACCGAUGGCGAAGGCAGCUUGCUGGGGACUUAUCGACGCUCAUGCUCGAAAGUGCGGGUAGCAAACAGGAUUAGAUACCCUGGUA
Molecule: ribosomal RNA, 434 nt
Filed under: uncultured Fibrobacter sp.
Lineage: Bacteria; Pseudomonadati; Fibrobacterota; Fibrobacteria; Fibrobacterales; Fibrobacteraceae
Description: partial 16S ribosomal RNA
Rfam family: Bacterial small subunit ribosomal RNA
Source: RNAcentral